AGUGAACGCUGGCGGUAGGCCUAACACAUGCAAGUCGAACGGCAGCACAGUAAGAGCUUGCUCUUACGGGUGGCGAGUGGCGGACGGGUGAGGAAUACAUCGGAAUCUACUUUUUCGUGGGGGAUAACGUAGGGAAACUUACGCUAAUACCGCAUACGACCUACGGGUGAAAGCAGGGGAUCUUCGGACCUUGCGCGAUUGCAUGAGCCGAUGUCGGAUUAGCUAGUUGGCGGGGUAAAGGCCCACCAAGGCGACGCUCCGUAGCUGGGCUGAGAGGAUGAUCAGCCACACUGGAACUGAGCCACGGUCCAGACUCCUACGGGAGGCAGCAGUGGGGAAGAUUGGACAAUGGGCGCAAGCCUGAUCCAGCCAUACCGCGUGGGUGAAGAAGGCCUUCGGGUUGUAAAGCCCUUUUGUUGGGAAAGAAAAGCAGCAGGUUAAUACCCCGCUGUUCUGACGGUACCCAAAGAAUAAGCACCGGCUAACUUCGUG
This 492-nucleotide ribosomal RNA is filed under the name uncultured bacterium. RNAcentral's name for it is "partial 16S ribosomal RNA". It matches the Rfam family "Bacterial small subunit ribosomal RNA", at positions 29 to 507 of the family's 1533-position model. The record is from RNAcentral.